AGUGGAGAUCGUGCCACUGCACUCCAGCCUGGUGCCUGGCCACAGAACGAGACUCUGUCUCAAAAAAAAAAAAGAAAGAAAAGAAAAGAAAAGAAAAAAAUGAUUUCAAGUAAUAUUAUUUCUAUGUGACUUAAUAAUGAACUUCUAAGACGGUCACAUAGCUCACUAUUGUCUCUUCUAAAACACACACAUCAUUCCUUUUUUGCUCUGUAGGAACUCAUUAUACAAUGACAAAUGGAGGCAGCAUUAACAGUUCUGCACAUUUACUGGAUCUUUUGGAUGAACCAGUUCCAGGUGUUGGUACACAUCAUGAUUUCCAUACUAUCGACUGGGUGAGAGAAAAAUGUAAAGACAGAGAAAGGCAUAGACGGAUCAACAGCAAAAAGAAUCAGCAUGGGAAAUGACAAAAAGUUUGUAUGAUGUGUGGUUAGGAUGGCUAGUAGUAACACUAACAGGAUUGGCAUCAGGGUGUUGACUGGAUUAAUAGACAUUGCUGCUGACUGGAUGACUGGCCUAAAGGUGGGCAUUUGCCUUAAUGCGUUGUGGUACAACCUCGAACGGUGCUGUUGGGGAUCUAAUGAAACAACAUUUGAAGAGAGGGAUAAAUGUCCAUAAUGGAAAACAUGGGCAGAAUUAAUCACAGGUCUGUUAGAGGUAAGUCUUGUUUUGUCUCAAGAUGAAUUAAUAACUGAUAAAGCAAAAAUGUUUCCAAUUCAUUUGUUUAUAGAACUAAUUACAUAUUAGAUGAUUGCAUCCACAUUAAAUGGAUCCACCCUCAACACAUUGCAGCAAGAAUGAAUUAAGUGCAGUAUUGUUUCAAG
RNAcentral lists this long non-coding RNA (821 nucleotides) under Aotus nancymaae (Ma's night monkey). Its description in RNAcentral is "lncRNA (ENSANAG00000038957.1)". The record is from RNAcentral. Lineage: Eukaryota; Metazoa; Chordata; Mammalia; Primates; Aotidae.